The sequence is an antisense RNA, 69 nucleotides long. It matches the Rfam family "ASpks TB sRNA".
CUUGAUCGACCCGAGCCACAGCGGCUCUUCCCGGUCCUGCCCGUAGGUCGCGAGCAGCGCCUGCGCCUC